CCUACGGGUGGCAGCAGUGAGGAAUAUUGGUCAAUGGGCGCGAGCCUGAACCAGCCAAGUAGCGUGAAGGAUGACUGCCCUACGUGUUGUAAACUUCUUUUAUAAAGGAAUAAAGUGAGGCACGUGUGCCUUUUUGUAUGUACUUUAUGAAUAAGGAUCGGCUAACUCCGUGCCAGCAGCCGCGGUAAUACGGAGGAUCCGAGCGUUAUCCGGAUUUAUUGGGUUUAAAGGGAGCGUAGAUGGGUUGUUAAGUCAGUUGUGAAAGUUUGGGGCUCAACCGUAAAAUUGCAAUUGAUACUGGCAGCCUUGAGUACGGUUGAGGUAGGCGGAAUUCGUGGUGUAGCGGUGAAAUGCAUAGAUAUCACGAAGAACUCCGAUUGCGAAGGCAGCUUGCUGAACUGCCACUGACGUUGAGGCUCGAAAGUGUGGGUAUCAAACAGGAUUAGAUACCCCAGUAGUC
RNAcentral lists this ribosomal RNA (460 nucleotides) under uncultured bacterium. RNAcentral's name for it is "partial 16S ribosomal RNA". It matches the Rfam family "Bacterial small subunit ribosomal RNA", at positions 338 to 795 of the family's 1533-position model. The record is from RNAcentral.